CCUUCUGUUAUUCAUUUUCACUCGUUCUUAAGGGAUCAUUUCUAACUUGUGUAACGUUUUUCUGUGUCGAAUGAGCCCCACUGCGACAUUUUCAGCACGUAUAAAAUUGGGAUUUUCUUAUAUUCCUGGUAAAAAAACAUCCUCAACACUUAAUCACAUUCUGAUGUCAUAAAACUUUUUGCCAAUAAACACUGUUUUAUUUUCCUCCGAGUUACUCACCAGCGUACGAAAAAAAGCAACAAACUGAAUCCGCAGUUUUUUUUACAAAAAAAAACAAUCCUUGAAAGGUUAUCACUGUUUACUACGAAAACGCUUCCUUUACUACGAGCCUCGCGAGAAGACAACAAACUUUUGCCAUCAUAAUCAUCUUCCGAACAUUCGUCAUUGCCACAGCACGAUUCCGAUCGAGUGCUCCUUCGCGGUGAGUGACGUACGGGAUCGAUGAAAUGCUGAUGAAAUGCGGUUGCAGCUUUGCAUCAUCUAUUGGGGAUUCUGUUUUUGUUGUUCUAAUUGAUAAUUGUGCAGCAGCUGUACAAGGCCGUCCGUGGCCAGUAGCAUGAUAGCCGCGUUCUGGACAGUGAUUUCACCUAACUCUUUGUUAGGUAAAUCCUUAAUGGAAUAUACAUUGUUUCAAAAUUAAGGGAGGCACGUAAGUGCAACUGUUGGUGGAUUUCAAGGCAAUAUUGCGGAAUACAUUUCAUAAAGUAAAUAUAUAAAACCGUCAUGUAUCGAAACCAACAUAUAAAUCUUAUUGAUAAAUCCAAUAAAAAACACACGUCGCCGUGACUUUGGACUUUUUGUCAGUUCAACUCGUGAAGCUUUGUUUUGACGUUUGAAUUUGGCAUCGAAUAAUCCAGAUUGUUAUACAAAAUGGCUACAUCACGAAAAGACGGCGUCUUAUUGAGCGAUUGGAUAGAUAUUUCCUUAUCUCAAAUGAUCACACCGAAGAAACUGGCAUUAUCAAAUCGUAUCAUCGGGCAAACAACAACAGACCAUUGGAACUCGGAUCAAGUGGCCAACGUAGAACCGGUAAUUUCUUUUUUAUUCAUCAUUUGUCAGGAAUUUGGUAGUGAAAUCCCUCGAAAAACCUGCAUUAUUCC
Molecule: long non-coding RNA, 1100 nt
Organism: Wyeomyia smithii (pitcher-plant mosquito)
Lineage: Eukaryota; Metazoa; Arthropoda; Insecta; Diptera; Culicidae
Exons: 3
Source: RefSeq, a predicted model, not a curated record